This 1453-nucleotide ribosomal RNA is filed under the name Lacticaseibacillus rhamnosus. Its description in RNAcentral is "bacterial SSU rRNA". It matches the Rfam family "Bacterial small subunit ribosomal RNA". The record is from RNAcentral. Lineage: Bacteria; Bacillati; Bacillota; Bacilli; Lactobacillales; Lactobacillaceae.
GGCCUAAUACAUGCAAGUCGAACGAGUUCUGAUUAUUGAAAGGUGCUUGCAUCUUGAUUUAAUUUUGAACGAGUGGCGGACGGGUGAGUAACACGUGGGUAACCUGCCCUUAAGUGGGGGAUAACAUUUGGAAACAGAUGCUAAUACCGCAUAAAUCCAAGAACCGCAUGGUUCUUGGCUGAAAGAUGGCGUAAGCUAUCGCUUUUGGAUGGACCCGCGGCGUAUUAGCUAGUUGGUGAGGUAACGGCUCACCAAGGCAAUGAUACGUAGCCGAACUGAGAGGUUGAUCGGCCACAUUGGGACUGAGACACGGCCCAAACUCCUACGGGAGGCAGCAGUAGGGAAUCUUCCACAAUGGACGCAAGUCUGAUGGAGCAACGCCGCGUGAGUGAAGAAGGCUUUCGGGUCGUAAAACUCUGUUGUUGGAGAAGAAUGGUCGGCAGAGUAACUGUUGUCGGCGUGACGGUAUCCAACCAGAAAGCCACGGCUAACUACGUGCCAGCAGCCGCGGUAAUACGUAGGUGGCAAGCGUUAUCCGGAUUUAUUGGGCGUAAAGCGAGCGCAGGCGGUUUUUUAAGUCUGAUGUGAAAGCCCUCGGCUUAACCGAGGAAGUGCAUCGGAAACUGGGAAACUUGAGUGCAGAAGAGGACAGUGGAACUCCAUGUGUAGCGGUGAAAUGCGUAGAUAUAUGGAAGAACACCAGUGGCGAAGGCGGCUGUCUGGUCUGUAACUGACGCUGAGGCUCGAAAGCAUGGGUAGCGAACAGGAUUAGAUACCCUGGUAGUCCAUGCCGUAAACGAUGAAUGCUAGGUGUUGGAGGGUUUCCGCCCUUCAGUGCCGCAGCUAACGCAUUAAGCAUUCCGCCUGGGGAGUACGACCGCAAGGUUGAAACUCAAAGGAAUUGACGGGGGCCCGCACAAGCGGUGGAGCAUGUGGUUUAAUUCGAAGCAACGCGAAGAACCUUACCAGGUCUUGACAUCUUUUGAUCACCUGAGAGAUCAGGUUUCCCCUUCGGGGGCAAAAUGACAGGUGGUGCAUGGUUGUCGUCAGCUCGUGUCGUGAGAUGUUGGGUUAAGUCCCGCAACGAGCGCAACCCUUAUGACUAGUUGCCAGCAUUUAGUUGGGCACUCUAGUAAGACUGCCGGUGACAAACCGGAGGAAGGUGGGGAUGACGUCAAAUCAUCAUGCCCCUUAUGACCUGGGCUACACACGUGCUACAAUGGAUGGUACAACGAGUUGCGAGACCGCGAGGUCAAGCUAAUCUCUUAAAGCCAUUCUCAGUUCGGACUGUAGGCUGCAACUCGCCUACACGAAGUCGGAAUCGCUAGUAAUCGCGGAUCAGCACGCCGCGGUGAAUACGUUCCCGGGCCUUGUACACACCGCCCGUCACACCAUGAGAGUUUGUAACACCCGAAGCCGGUGGCGUAACCCUUUUAGGGAGCGAGCCGUCUAA